RNAcentral lists this ribosomal RNA (275 nucleotides) under uncultured bacterium. RNAcentral describes it as "partial 16S ribosomal RNA". It matches the Rfam family "Bacterial small subunit ribosomal RNA", at positions 240 to 507 of the family's 1533-position model. The record is from RNAcentral.
AUUAGGUAGUUGGUGAGGUAAAGGCUCACCAAGCCGACGAUCUGUAGCUGGUCUGAGAGGACGACCAGCCACACUGGGACUGAGACACGGCCCAGACUCCUACGGGAGGCAGCAGGUGGGAAUUUUGGACAAUGGGCGCAAGCCUGAUCCAGCAAUGCCGCGUGCAGGAUGAAGGCCUUCGGGUUGUAAACUGCUUUUGUACGGAACGAAACGGUGAGCUCUAAUACAGUUUGCUAAUGACGGUACCGUAAGAAUAAGCACCGGCUAACUACGUG